Molecule: non-coding RNA, 78 nt
Organism: Salmo salar (Atlantic salmon)
Lineage: Eukaryota; Metazoa; Chordata; Actinopteri; Salmoniformes; Salmonidae
Source: Rfam
UGGCUAAGUUGGUAGAGCAUGGUGCUUGCAACACCAGCAUGGUGUGUGCAACGCCAGGGUUGUGGGUUCGAUUCCCAC